This 253-nucleotide ribosomal RNA is filed under the name uncultured bacterium. RNAcentral's name for it is "partial 16S ribosomal RNA". It matches the Rfam family "Bacterial small subunit ribosomal RNA", at positions 524 to 776 of the family's 1533-position model. The record is from RNAcentral.
UACGGAGGGUGCAAGCGUUGUCCGGAAUCACUGGGCGUAAGGGGCGCGUAGGCGGCUCAUGAAGGCUGUGGUGAAAGUCCGGGGCUCAACCUCGGAUCGGCCGUGGCGACUCGUGGGCUGGAGCACUGUAGAGGCGGGUGGAAUUCCGGGUGUAGCGGUGGAAUGCGUAGAGAUCCGGAAGAACACCAGUGGCGAAGGCGGCCCGCUGGGCAGUGGCUGACGCUGAAGCGCGACAGCGUGGGGAGCAAACAGG